Long non-coding RNA from Pantherophis guttatus, 1183 nucleotides. RefSeq lists it as uncharacterized. Lineage: Eukaryota; Metazoa; Chordata; Lepidosauria; Squamata; Colubridae. The record is from RefSeq and is a predicted model, not a curated record.
UUGUUUCUGGCCACCAUUUCCAUGGUAAGAAAACAGAAUGUCAUCUGUUCUUAGGGAGAUGCAGGAGGACAUGUACUUAGUUUUAACAACCAAAAUGAGCAUUAGAAAUAUGAUACUGCAUGUGGCUAAAAAUAUAAUGUCAUGGUUGAAAGAUUGUGGGAAUUAUGUUUCUAUGUCUAUGACAGGUUAUUCACUAACAAGAUCCUUCAAGACAAAAUAAUGUCUAUAUCAUCUAAAUCUCACUAAUACAGUUCAUACCUGGUUGGAAUUCCAGAACGGUCAGUCAGCCUGGUUUCUUUAUGGAAAUCCUAAUAUAUGAAAUGGUAGCCAUGCCAAAAGAUAAUUAAUGAGGUCGCUGCCCAGCAACCUUUCCUUUUCAUAUUGUUUAUAAGCUCUGGUCAUUUUUGCAAAGUUUCCAGGUUUACAUCGAAAGAAAUGUGUCUACUUCAUUCCAACAAUUGAAUGGAAGAAAAUAAAUCUCAUAUUAUGGCAUUUUAGGAGUCUACUAAGGAGGUCUAAAGUAUUGGCACUACAAUAUCAUGAAUGGUAAAAGUGAGGAAAGGCAGAACUAGAAGAUCAAGACCACUUCACCAAGGAGGUCACUCUUAAUGAUCUGGGCGUAAAGGAGUUUAGCUGUUGGAACAUCUAUAUCCCAACAACUCCAUUCUACUCACCUCAUCAAUCUAUUGUAUAGGGUCCCCCUAACCUACUUGCCCAGACUGAAGAAGCUACUUAGGUUCUUUUUUCCCUGGCCUGCACUGACAUGAAAUUAAUGAAAUACAAUAUCAGGAUUUUUUUUAAAGGAAAAAAUAACUUCAACCACCCCCUCCAUAUAUUCAAUCCAGAGCAUUGUAGUCAUGAAGAGCAGAAUGAGAGUGGAUCAUUGAUGAAAGAAACAGCUUCAAGUGUCAGACCUCUAAGAUUCAACAUAAUAUGUUGAAUCAAGACGUAUGAAUCACAGCCUGUCACCUGCUGGAGCUUUUACAAAGAAAAAAAAGAGGCAUCUGUCAAGUUGUCAGAAGUAGUUAAAAAAAGACAUUAUUGAUUCUGAUAUGACUCUCCAAUUCAAUUUCAACGUGCCAAACAACCAGCUCCUACUCCAUAGAUAAACUGUGUUCCCUUUUACUCAGUUGUAACUAUGUCUCUUUAAAAUUUGUGAUAAGUAAAGGUAAUACAAACAACA